GACGAACGCUGGCGGCGUGCCUAAUACAUGCAAGUCGAACGCGAGCAGCAAUGCUCGAGUGGCGAACGGGUGAGUAAUACAUAAGUAACCUGCCCUAGACAGGGGGAUAACAGCCGGAAACGGCCGCUAAUACCGCAUAAUGCAUUGGAUUCGCAUGUUUCUGAUGCCAAAGAUUUUAUCGCUGAAAGAUGAGCUCGCGUCUGAUUAGCUAGUUGGCGGGGUAACGGCCCACCAAGGCGACGAUCAGUAGCCGGACUGAGAGGUUGAACGGCCAUAUUGGGACUGAGACACGGCCCAG
RNAcentral lists this ribosomal RNA (298 nucleotides) under uncultured bacterium. Its description in RNAcentral is "partial 16S ribosomal RNA". It matches the Rfam family "Bacterial small subunit ribosomal RNA", at positions 28 to 334 of the family's 1533-position model. The record is from RNAcentral.